RNAcentral lists this ribosomal RNA (268 nucleotides) under Faucicola osloensis. RNAcentral's name for it is "Moraxella osloensis partial 16S ribosomal RNA". It matches the Rfam family "Bacterial small subunit ribosomal RNA", at positions 1 to 261 of the family's 1533-position model. The record is from RNAcentral. Lineage: Bacteria; Pseudomonadati; Pseudomonadota; Gammaproteobacteria; Moraxellales; Moraxellaceae.
UAGAUAGAAAGAUUAAACUGAAGAGUUUGAUCAUGGCUCAGAUUGAACGCUGGCGGCAGGCUUAACACAUGCAAGUCGAACGAUGACUCUCUAGCUUGCUAGAGAUGAUUAGUGGCGGACGGGUGAGUAACAUUUAGGAAUCUACCUAGUAGUGGGGGAUAGCUCGGGGAAACUCGAAUUAAUACCGCAUACGACCUACGGGUGAAAGGGGGCGCAAGCUCUUGCUAUUAGAUGAGCCUAAAUCAGAUUAGCUAGUUGGUGGGGUAAA